UACGUAGGGGGCUAGCGUUGUCCGGAAUCAUUGGGCGUAAAGAGCGCGCAGGCGGCCCGGCAAGUCGGGUGUGAAAUCCCGGGGCUCAACCCCGGGACUGCAUUCGAUACUGCCGGGCUAGAGGUAGGUAGGGGAGAUCGGAAUUCCUGGUGUAGCGGUGAAAUGCGCAGAUAUCAGGAGGAACACCGGUGGCGAAGGCGGAUCUCUGGGCCUUACCUGACGCUCAGGCGCGAAAGCUAGGGGAGCGAACAGG
RNAcentral lists this ribosomal RNA (253 nucleotides) under uncultured bacterium. RNAcentral's name for it is "partial 16S ribosomal RNA". It matches the Rfam family "Bacterial small subunit ribosomal RNA", at positions 524 to 776 of the family's 1533-position model. The record is from RNAcentral.